UACCCGCAGCACAAGUGGUGGUCAUUAUUAUUGGGCCUAAAGCGUCCGUAGCUGGCUUGUUAGAUGCCUGGGUAAAUCGAUGCGCUCAACGCAUCGAAUUCCGGGUAGACCGGCAAGCUCGAGACCGGGAGAGGUGUAGGGUACUCGGGGGGUAGGGGUAAAAUCCUGUAAUCCUCCGGGGACGACCAGUGGCGAAGGCGCUACACUAGAACGGCUCUGACAGUGAGGGACGAAGCCCUGGGGCGCAAACCGG
This 253-nucleotide ribosomal RNA is filed under the name uncultured bacterium. RNAcentral describes it as "partial 16S ribosomal RNA". It matches the Rfam family "Archaeal small subunit ribosomal RNA", at positions 474 to 727 of the family's 1478-position model. The record is from RNAcentral.